Long non-coding RNA from Folsomia candida, 923 nucleotides. RefSeq lists it as uncharacterized. Lineage: Eukaryota; Metazoa; Arthropoda; Collembola; Entomobryomorpha; Isotomidae. The transcript has 2 exons. The record is from RefSeq and is a predicted model, not a curated record.
GUGUUAAGGCAAAAGUUUAUCCUAAUUUAUUUGAGAUAAAUAUGCCCCCAUUUCCUACAACCAAUUGGACUGACGCAAUCAGGUGCAUAUAUAAAGAACGGAGGUAUGUCUGACAAACCUCAUUAGUCAACUUUCUACGAAUCCUGGUCAACAUGGUGUUGCGAAUAUUUUGUUUUUUCGCCGUGCUCUACUCUGCGCACGGCUUCCUGCAGGAGUUGACCUUCUACACAGAACCUGACGCGGGAGGGAAUGCGUUCGUGUUCCGAACUAAAGAGCCUGAUCUUACGCCACACUACUCGAAAUUGUUAAAUGGUGUAAAGUCAGUUUGCCAUAGAGGACGAUGGGGAGGGUUUAGUGAAAAAAAUUACACUAAUUUGUGGACGAUAUCCGUUCUACAUCUUCUGUUCGGUAUCUGCUGAUGGGACUUUGCUUUGCCGUAAUCAAACACUUUUCCGAACAAUGAAGUCUUUGAGGUAUCUUGGACCAUUGGACACAACAAUACCUUCCAUUUCCAUUUAUAGCGGGACUGAUUCUGACCUUGCUGGUGGGAUCGAACGCACUUUUACUGGUUUAGCAGCCAAUGAUUUUGGUUUCCUUCCUGCUUGGAUGCUACUGACAGGAAGGUCAAGUUGGACUGGCUUUUCUAGCCCUGAUUUUUCUGGCAACUCGACGUGUUUCUCAACCUCAGAGCUAAUGGGAGGGGCCCAGGUAGAUGGUAACCCGAUGAGGUCAUUAAUCAAAGGAUGUAACUCCAAAUAUAGGAGUGAUUAUUGGAAUGUAGAUAAGCUUACAUAGAAGGAAUAAUGCGCGUGUGUAUUUCACGCAUAUUUAUUGUACAAGUUUAAAAAAAUAACCUGAUAAACGAAAUGCUUUGGUGAAUAGAUGAAUUGCAACGAAAAGUUAAAAAUAAAAUUAUUUAAAUG